Molecule: non-coding RNA, 224 nt
Organism: Cyanistes caeruleus (blue tit)
Lineage: Eukaryota; Metazoa; Chordata; Aves; Passeriformes; Paridae
Source: RefSeq, a predicted model, not a curated record
CCUCAGCUCCCCUCAGCAGCCGAGGCUCCCGCCCAGCGGGCGCGUCCCUGAGCGCUGCCCGUGCCCGGGGAGGGCUGAGGGUACCCGGGGCAGGUGUUACAUUUCCAAGCAGUUCAUUCUGCCCUACCCCGCCGAGUUUUCAUCAGGCUUGAAAAGACACUGAGCGGCCAUCGGGACCGAGUACAGCCUGCAAACCCACCACUGGGGCUUGAAGGAGCUCUAAA